GGUGGCUCAGUGGUAGAGCACUUGUCUGACAUGCAUAAGGCCCUGGGUUUGAUUCCUCAGCACCA
Molecule: transfer RNA, 65 nt
Filed under: Dipodomys ordii (Ord's kangaroo rat)
Lineage: Eukaryota; Metazoa; Chordata; Mammalia; Rodentia; Heteromyidae
Rfam family: tRNA
About the family: Transfer RNA (tRNA) molecules are approximately 80 nucleotides in length. Their secondary structure includes four short double-helical elements and three loops (D, anti-codon, and T loops).
Source: Rfam by way of RNAcentral